This 667-nucleotide ribosomal RNA is filed under the name uncultured bacterium. RNAcentral describes it as "bacterial SSU rRNA". It matches the Rfam family "Bacterial small subunit ribosomal RNA", at positions 73 to 719 of the family's 1533-position model. The record is from RNAcentral.
CCGGAGCUUGCUCCACCGGAAAAAGANGAGUGGCGAACGGGUGAGUAACACGUGGGUAACCUGCCCAUCAGAAGGGGAUAACACUUGGAAACAGGUGCUAAUACCGUAUAACAAUCGAAACCGCAUGGUUUUGAUUUGAAAGGCGCUUUCGGGUGUCGCUGAUGGAUGGACCCGCGGUGCAUUAGCUAGUUGGUGAGGUAACGGCUCACCAAGGCCACGAUGCAUAGCCGACCUGAGAGGGUGAUCGGCCACAUUGGGACUGAGACACGGCCCAAACUCCUACGGGAGGCAGCAGUAGGGAAUCUUCGGCAAUGGACGAAAGUCUGACCGAGCAACGCCGCGUGAGUGAAGAAGGUUUUCGGAUCGUAAAACUCUGUUGUUAGAGAAGAACAAGGAUGAGAGUAACUGUUCAUCCCUUGACGGUAUCUAACCAGAAAGCCACGGCUAACUACGUGCCAGCAGCCGCGGUAAUACGUAGGUGGCAAGCGUUGUCCGGAUUUAUUGGGCGUAAAGCGAGCGCAGGCGGUUUCUUAAGUCUGAUGUGAAAGCCCCCGGCUCAACCGGGGAGGGUCAUUGGAAACUGGGAGACUUGAGUGCAGAAGAGGAGAGUGGAAUUCCAUGUGUAGCGGUGAAAUGCGUAGAUAUAUGGAGGAACACCAGUGGCGAA